Myotis davidii is the source of this 402-nucleotide long non-coding RNA. RefSeq lists it as uncharacterized. Lineage: Eukaryota; Metazoa; Chordata; Mammalia; Chiroptera; Vespertilionidae. The record is from RefSeq and is a predicted model, not a curated record. The transcript has 3 exons.
UACGUUACUUGGUCUCUCUGGCAUGACCUGCCUCCGAUGAUUUAUUACUUUCCGCUGCAAACACUGGAACUCACCGGGCUGGAAGUUUUUGGCGUAGCUUUUCUCUCUCCGCUAUUUCUCAUAACUACUCCUGUCUGGAAGCUGGUGCACAAGAGGUGGAUGCUAGCCCUGCUGCGGAUCCUUGCUGUUGGCAGCAUAACCUCCUUCCAGGCUCCGAAUGCCGAACUCCGGCUGGUGAUCCUUGCGCUUGGUGUGUCCUCCUCACUGAUUGUACAAGCCGUGACAUGGUGGACAGGAAGUGGUUUGCAAAGGUACCUCAGAAUCUGGGGAUUCGUGUUGGGACAGAUUCUUCUUGUUGUCCUCCGCAUCUGGUACACUUCACUAAACCCCAUCUGGAGCUAU